Molecule: unclassified non-coding RNA, 230 nt
Filed under: plant metagenome
Description: partial contains small subunit ribosomal RNA, internal transcribed spacer 1, and 5.8S ribosomal RNA
Source: RNAcentral
UUUCCGUAGGUGAACCUGCGGAAGGAUCAUUCAUAAUAAAGUGUUUUAUGGCACUUUUUAAAAAUCCAUAUCCACCUUGUGUGCAAUGUUAGAUCUCGUCAAUCUUGGUGAGAUUUUUAUACAUCAACUCAUUCUUUAACUAAUUUGUCUGAAAAAUAUUAUGAAUACUUAAUUCAAAAUACAACUUUCAACAACGGAUCUCUUGGCCCUCGCAUCGAUGAGAACGCAGC